This 81-nucleotide microRNA precursor is filed under the name Vicugna pacos (alpaca). RNAcentral's name for it is "miRNA (ENSVPAG00000016763.1)". The record is from RNAcentral. Lineage: Eukaryota; Metazoa; Chordata; Mammalia; Artiodactyla; Camelidae.
ACUGUAAGUUAUGCAGGAAUUUUUGACUGCACAGAGGACUGGUGUCCCUAACCCUGUGUUGUUCAAGGGUCAAAUGUAUUU